This 71-nucleotide transfer RNA is filed under the name Ranacephala hogei (Hoge's toadhead turtle). RNAcentral's name for it is "Mesoclemmys hogei (Hoge's toadhead turtle) tRNA-Gln". It matches the Rfam family "tRNA". Rfam says of the family: Transfer RNA (tRNA) molecules are approximately 80 nucleotides in length. The record is from RNAcentral. Lineage: Eukaryota; Metazoa; Chordata; Testudines; Chelidae.
UAGGAUGUAGUAUAAUGGAAGUACCAGGAGUUUUGAUCUCUUUAAUACAGGUUCAAAUCCUGUUUUUCUAA